AGCCCGCUCUAGCCCAACCACAUUUAACCGAUUAACAACAACAAGAAUCUACUUCACUGCUCAACUAAAACAUUUAUUAAAACUUAGUAUAGGUGAUAGAAAAGACCAGCCUGGCGCGAUAGAGACUUCGUACCGCAAGGAAAGAUGAAAUAGCAAUGAAAAACUAAGCAGUAAAUAGCAAAGAUAAACCCUUGUACCUUUUGCAUCAUGAUUUAGCAAGAAUAACCAAGCAAAACGAGUUUAAGCUUGCCACCCCGAAACCUAAGCGAGCUACUUGCAAGCAGCUACUUAUGAGCGAACCCGUCUCUGUUGCAAAAGAGUGGGAUGACUUGCUAGUAGAGGUGAAAAGCCAACCGAGCUGGGUGAUAGCUGGUUGCCUGUGAAAUGAAUCUCAGUUCCCCCUUGACCUCCCUCCCCGGACACAACUCUAACCUUUAUGUAGAAAGUCAAGAGUAAUUUAAAGGAGGUACAGCUCCUUUAAAAAAGGAUACAACCUUCACUAGCGGCUAUACUACCCCACUUCUCCCCAUUACUGUAGGCCCUCAAGCAGCCACCAAUAAAGAGUGCGUCAAAGCUCUACACAUAAAAUCCAAUAACAACAUGAUUCCCUUCCCACUAACAGGCUAACCUAUGCCAAUAGGAGUAUUAAUGCUAAAAUGAGUAACUAGGGGUUCACCCUCCACAAGCGCAAGCUUACAUCCUCAUAUUAUUAACAGAUAACAAACCAAUAUCUCAAUUAUAACAAGACUAACAUAUUAAACUCACCCUGUUACACCGACCAUAGGAGCGCCCACUAGAAAGAUUAAAAUCUGUAAAAGGAACUAGGCAAACCCAAGGCCCGGCUGUUUACCAAAAACAUAGCCUUCAGCCCACCAAGUAUUGAAGGGGGUGCCUGCCCAGUGACAUAACGUUUAACGGCGGGGGUAUCCUAACCGGGCGAAGGUAGCGCAAUCAAUUGUCCCAUAAAUCGAGACUUGUAUGAAUGGCUAAACGAGGUCUUAACUGUCUCUUACAGAUAAUCAGUGAAAUUGAUCUUCCUGUGCAAAAGCAGGAAUACUAACAUAAGACGAGAAGACCCUGUGGAACUUAAAAAUCAGCGGCCACUACACACAAACUCAAACCUACUAGGCCUUCCUCCUUCCCCAAUGCUGGCCCGCAUUUUUCGGUUGGGGCGACCUUGGAGAAAAACGGAUCCUCCAAAAAUAAGACCACACCUCUUAACCAAGAACAACCCCUCAACGUACUAACAGUAACCAGACCCAAUACAAUUGAUCAAUGGACCAAGCUACCCCAGGGAUAACAGCGCAAUCUCCUCUAAGAGCCCACAUCGACGAGGAGGUUUACGACCUCGAUGUUGGAUCAGGACAUCCUAAUGGUGCAGCCGCUAUUAAGGGUUCGUUUGUUCAACGAUUAACAGUCCUACGUGAUCUGAGUUCAGACCGGAGCAAUCCAGGUCGGUUUCUAUCUAUGACAAACUUUCCCUAGUACGAAAGGACCGAGAAAGUGGGGCCAAUACUACAAGCACGCCCCCUCCCCAAGUAAUGUACCCAACUAAAUUACCAAAGGAUACCCUACACUAACUCCUAGAAAGGACCA
Molecule: ribosomal RNA, 1596 nt
Filed under: Fratercula arctica (Atlantic puffin)
Lineage: Eukaryota; Metazoa; Chordata; Aves; Charadriiformes; Alcidae
Description: 16S ribosomal RNA
Rfam family: Bacterial large subunit ribosomal RNA
Source: RNAcentral